Molecule: long non-coding RNA, 227 nt
Filed under: Bos taurus (domestic cattle)
Lineage: Eukaryota; Metazoa; Chordata; Mammalia; Artiodactyla; Bovidae
Description: long non-coding RNA NONBTAT017251
Source: RNAcentral
ACAAUAACCUUACAUCAUAAAUGUAGUGAACUUGGGUUAGGCUUUUACUCACAUGCAGUCCUGUUCUCAACACUGGGAUGGGACCCUCAAAGAUCACCCACCAGGGCAGGAUUCAUUAUAAGACAGUAGAUGGGAAAUAAAGAAGCAUUCAAUUCGGGCUUUUCCCUCAAAGAAACUAAGACACAUUAAGCAGAUAAGGUAUGAAGACAGUGUAAUAGCAGGGUGGA